Molecule: long non-coding RNA, 711 nt
Filed under: Mustela putorius furo (domestic ferret)
Lineage: Eukaryota; Metazoa; Chordata; Mammalia; Carnivora; Mustelidae
Description: lncRNA (ENSMPUG00000031426.1)
Source: RNAcentral
CUCUAUAUAACCAUUUUUAAAUUUACUACUAUUCUGUUAGUGGUUUUUAGUACAUGAGCAAAUACAUACAUGUGUAUAUGUACAUCUGUAUCUAUAUCAACAUACAGAUAUACGCAACCCCCCCCCUUUCUAAAAUAAACGGUAGCCCACUUUACAUGUUUUUCUUCAUUCUGCCUUUUCUACUUAACAAUAUAACCUAGAGAUUGCUGGACUGUAGGAUUUAGAGAUACUCCUCAUACCUUUUUACACCAUACUAUAUUUCAUCAUGCAGCUGAAGCCCUUUUUACUUAACUAUAUUCCUACUGAUUCAGGCUAUUGCUAGUCUUAUUAUUAGAUAAUGCCCUAAUAGUACCUUGGGCAUACAUCUUGUCAUGUUGUUGUUAGUGUGCUUUCAGGAUAGUGUCUUGACUCUAGAUUCCUAAAAUACUGAUUUGCAGUGUAAUUACUGGGCCGCAUGGUAUGCAUCUGUUUACUGUUGCUGAAUAUUGCCAGUUUCUCCUCCAUCAGAACUCCUGGGCCGUUUGGCAUGCCUACCAGCAAGGCACUGGAAAUCCAACAACGAGCUUACUUUCCUACCUGAGGGAGCUAAUGAAGAAGGAAAUCACAUGAUUUUUCUGAUUCCGGCUGAAAGAUUCUCCCUAAGAGAAUAUACUCUUGGUUUACAUGAUUUUCUCCAUGCUUCCAUCUCUGAUAUCUGGAAAUUUGGGGUCA